GUAAACCGCUGUGGAGAGGGAAGAUAAUGACGGUACCUCUCUAGAAAGCACCUGCUAACUACGUGCCAGAAGCCUCGGUGAUACGUAGGGUGCAAGCGUUAUCCGGAUUUAUUGGGCGUAAAGAGUAUCGUAGGCGGUACAGUAAGUGAUUGGUGAAAUCCUCUGGCUCAACCAGAGAAUUGUUAGUCAUACUACUGAACUAGAGUAAUUUCGGGAAGGCUGGAAUUCUCGGUGUAGGGGUGAAAUCCGUUGAUAUCGAGAAGAACACCAAGGGCGAAGGCAGGCCUUUAGGAAUUUACUGACGCUGAUGAACGAAAGCUUGGGGAGCAAAAGGGAUUAGAGACCCCUGUAGUCCAAGCCGUAAACGAUCUUUGCUAGUUGCUCGAGUUUACUUGAGUGGCGUAAGCUAACGCGUUAAGCAAGGCGCCUGGGGAGUACGAUCGCAAGAUUAAAACUCAAAGGAAUUGACGGGGGAGCGCACAACCGGUGGAGCAUGUGGUUUAAUUCGAUACAAAGCGAAAGACCUUACCUAGGUUUGACAUGUACCUGCACGCUCUGUGAAAGCAGAGUUUCUUCGAGAGUGGUACACAGGUGAUGCAUGGCUGUCGUCAGCUCGUGUCGUGAGACGUCCACUUAAGUGUGGUAACGAGCGCAACCCUUAUUCCGUGUUAUAAGUAUCAUGGGAGACUGCCCCCGCUUAGCGGGGGAGGAAGGAGAGGAUGACGUCAAGUCAGCACGUCCCUUACACCCAGGGCAACACACAUCCUACAAUGGAGCCGACAACGGGUAGCGACGGGGUAACCCUGAGCCAAUCCUUAUAAACGGCUCCUCAGUUCGGAUUGAGGGCUGCAAUUCGCCCUCAUGAAGCCGGAAUCGGUAGUAAUCGCAAAUCAGCAGGUUGCGGUGAAUACGUUCUCGCUCCUUGUACACACUGCCCGUCAAGCCAGCAAAGUCAGCAACGCCCGAAGCGGGUGACCAUAACUAGUUUACUAGAGUGGCCCUUCUACGGUGAGGUUGGCGAUGAGGACUAAGUCGUAACAAGGUAUCCGUACUGGAAGGUGCGGAUG
RNAcentral lists this ribosomal RNA (1067 nucleotides) under metagenome. RNAcentral describes it as "bacterial SSU rRNA". It matches the Rfam family "Bacterial small subunit ribosomal RNA", at positions 425 to 1520 of the family's 1533-position model. The record is from RNAcentral.